Molecule: ribosomal RNA, 2705 nt
Filed under: Triticum aestivum (bread wheat)
Lineage: Eukaryota; Viridiplantae; Streptophyta; Magnoliopsida; Poales; Poaceae
Description: partial small subunit ribosomal RNA
Source: RNAcentral
GGAGAGAGGUUGGGAUUGGGAGAAGGAGGGAGUCUAGAGUUAGGCGGCGGCGGGGAUAGGGAUGGGGGUGCAUCGGGUUAGGUUAGGCGGCGGCAGGAGAUGGGUAUAGCGAGGGACGAGGCCGCUCGGGCGGUACUUGGCAGACGCCCGCCCCUCGGGUCAGAUGCCCGCCGUCGCGUCGCCCUCGUCGUGCCAGAAGUGGAGGGGCCCGCCACAGAGGGGGAAGGUGGUGGCGAGGAGGAGGUGGAGGAAACGACGGAGGGAGGUUGCGGGUGUGUCGAGCGCUUUUUGUAUCUGCGACAGCGGCGGCGGGGAGCGUGGUACCGGCGGGGGGACGUAGCUGAGGGGUGUGGAGGGGCGGGAGUUCACCGAGGACGGGAGGUGAUGGAUCUAGGCGCAGGCGUAGGGGUGGGUGGACGACGGCGGUAGGUGAGAGCGGCGGGGGCAGGUGGUGGAGCAUGGUGCGGCGGCUGGUGGUAGGUGAGAGCGCACGUGUGCUGGAGGAGCAAGAAGCGCUGACGAGGUACAUACGGCGGACUAAGACAGCUCGGGGCCGCAGAGGGCGGUGGCGCGUCGUGGCUCGGCUCGAACGGAGCAAGGCGACGCAGGAGAUGAGCCGACCUAGGCGGUACAAGCAUCUCCUCGCCCACCCCUUCGUGGUUGGUUCCGGUACAGUACCUCCAAGACGAGUCCGUUGGGACGUGACGAACGUCGGCUGCGGCACCUCCAUAGGUUUGGAGUCUCCUGAUGUCCAAGAUACGGUAGAGCCGCCUCAUGGGACUCAAGUCGUUGUUCCUCUUCUGUGAGCACGACGUCAAGUGCCACUUCGUACUCGUUUUCGAACAGACGCCACCACCAAUGUAGUUCAACGAGCCUCCACUACAACUGGUCUUCUUUAAGCCAGUACAAUAUAAAUAAUCUUAUAUGACUCAUGUAAGACUUGGGGGAUUACACUGUGUUCAAUAUAUACGUGUACGAUAACAAAUUCACAACGAACACAUACCAUUUACCCAACUCGUGGGUGGCGACAAACUACGAUAACACAAAUCCUAAGAUAAGGAGAUACGCACAUUAGAGGUCUGGUACUAGUUCGUGUGCGUGUGCCAACUAUUCGUACCUUACUAAUGAUGAUUAAUUACUUCACUCGUCUGAAGAAGUGUAUUUCCUUCUGCAGACAAAAUUAUUAUCACAAGAACUAGACUGGAGUAUGUGGAAACAAAAUCAUUAUAUUUGUUUAUUUUAUUCUAACAAACGUAUAUUAUUCUAACCACUACGACCUACAUCACUGACACUAGAUGACGAUGUGCACGAUGACGAUCAUCACGAACACUAAAACAAAACGAGAUGGUUGACACCUAAUUAAGGAACCAGUGAUUAUUCAUCCACUACGAUCACAAAUUCAAAGAUAUGAUGACAAAUAUGACGACAAUAAGGCAGCCACAAUACGUAUAUCCAUACCCUAUUUCAUGAAAUAAACAUACCAAUAUCACGAACAGUGAGGUAUCCAAUAUGACUAAGAUCGUGACACAUGAUCAUCUUUAAGUUAGAUUACUGCUGCCCUGUACGAGAGAAAAGAAAUACGACACAAUUAUCCUAUGGCAUUUGCAUCCGGCGACUGUUAGUAUAGUAUCAGAGUCAGUCAAGUAAAAGAGAUACCCCUUACUUAAGAAUCGACGACGUUCAAACCGUUUAUCUGUGGUAUGAGCAAAAAGACACAUUUGUAUCAAUCGUGGAGACAAAAACUCAUCAAGGAAUGAAUGGAGACACAUUUGACUUAAACCAAGUCAAUUUUUUGACGUGAUGGACUGUCAAAACCCGUCGCUCGAAGAUUGACUUUUUGCUCAAGCAAUACGAGUAUUAAAGUUCAACCGGAGAUGUAUACUCAACAUUUCGUACAAGAUUCCAAAGGCAUCUCAUGAAUAAACGAAACAAACCUACAUGCCAAACUCUCGUCGGCAGAUAAAUCAAACGACAGGUCUUUAUAUCAUAUCAAAAAUUUUCGUUGGUUAAGUACUAUUCUGAACCACUCCGACUACGUGUAUCGAUGAAAUUUUCAUGGAACAAUUGUCACAACUCCUGUUCGAUUUAGGACAUAGUCCCAGGACAAGAACAUUUGUAAUACAUUUCGAUUUUAAGAAGGCACAGAACGAGAAAACGACCACGGUGAUAUGUACAAUCUAACGAUCUACAUGAACAAAGGUAGAGUUUAAUGAACCCACAGUAAGUAUACAUGUAUUCUAUUAACAUGACGUUUUUCUAGAAAAUAUAUUUAGGACAACCGAUUGAAAGGUAGAGUUUAAUGAACAAAGGUAGAGUACACGGAAAUCAAAAAUAAAAUUUUCAUGAGCACAUUAUAAAGAAUAUAGUCACUGUAUGAAAAACAAGAGAAAACUUACGGGUCUACAAAACGUAGUCGGACAGUAACGAUUCCUUCUUCGUCAUGAACUUCUUCGUCUGAUGUACAAAAGAACAACACUUCGUGAUCUAUCAAGAUAAAUAAGUAAGGACAAUAUCUCAUAAGGUCGUUGACUUACGAACUUAUGCAUUACAACAUCCAACGAACCUAGACAUAUUUUAUGCCUACACUACCUUUAAACAUCUUACACUCAAAACUCUAUAAAGACAUUAUAAAUCGAUUAACCACCACUAAGUAUAACAAUAAGUUUGACCAAACUUUUACAAGCAAUUUACCCGACCUCAACCUG